RNAcentral lists this small RNA (29 nucleotides) under Bombyx mori (domestic silkworm). Its description in RNAcentral is "piRNA piR-bmo-2075720". The record is from RNAcentral. Lineage: Eukaryota; Metazoa; Arthropoda; Insecta; Lepidoptera; Bombycidae.
UCCCUGUUGCUGCAAUCUUCUAUGUUGGC